CUGGGGGCACUGGGACACACUGACACCCUGUACUGGUGAGACUGGGGACACUGGGACACACUGGGGGCACUGGGCACCCUGAUCAGGCUCUUCUGCACCCAGAGCCGCGCCCGCCUCCUGGAGCUGAGGAGAGGAACUGACCCUGCCACCCUGUACUGAGCCGCGCCCGCCUCCUGGAGCUGAGGAGAGGAACCGACCCUGCCACCCUGUACUGCCUGGCGUUCAGCCCCGAC
This is a long non-coding RNA of Myiozetetes cayanensis, 233 nucleotides long. RefSeq lists it as uncharacterized. NCBI's taxonomy places the organism in Eukaryota, Metazoa, Chordata, Aves, Passeriformes, Tyrannidae. The transcript has 3 exons. The record is from RefSeq and is a predicted model, not a curated record.